GAUGAACGCUGGCGGCGUGCUUAACACAUGCAAGUCGAACGAGAAAUGGAGACGGAAACCUUCGGGCGGAAGGCUUCAUUUCGAGUGGCGGACGGGUGAGUAACGCGUGGGUAACCUGCCUCAUACAGGGGGAUAACAGUUGGAAACGACUGUUAAUACCGCAUAAGACCACAGCACCGCAUGGUGCGGGGGUAAAAACUCCGGUGGUAUGAGAUGGACCCGCGUUCGAUUAGCCAGUUGGCGGGGUAACGGCCCACCAAAGCGACGAUCGAUAGCCGAUCUGAGAGGAUGACCGGCCACAUUGGGACUGAGACACGGCCCAAACUCCUACGGGAGGCAGCAGUGGGGAAUAUUGCACAAUGGGGGAAACCCUGAUGCAGCGACGCCGCGUGAGUGAAGAAGUACUUCGGUAUGUAAAGCUCUAUCAGCAGGGAAGAAAAUGACGGUACCUGAGGAAGAAGCCCCGGCUAACUACGUG
Molecule: ribosomal RNA, 478 nt
Filed under: uncultured bacterium
Lineage: Bacteria
Description: partial 16S ribosomal RNA
Rfam family: Bacterial small subunit ribosomal RNA
Source: RNAcentral